RNAcentral lists this ribosomal RNA (348 nucleotides) under uncultured eukaryote. RNAcentral's name for it is "bacterial SSU rRNA". It matches the Rfam family "Eukaryotic small subunit ribosomal RNA", at positions 592 to 940 of the family's 1831-position model. The record is from RNAcentral.
CAAUAGCGUAUACUAACGUUGUUGCAGUUAAAAGCUCGUAGUUGGAUUUCUGACGGCCUUAGCUCAGCUCGACUCCCUGAGUCGUUGUCUGUCUGAGGUAGUCAACAUUUGGCGUGGACCAGUGUCGGGCUUUUAUUAGCACGUGCUGGCGAUCGUCUCGUUUACUUUGAGAAAAUUAGAGUGUUCAAAGCAGGCUUCGCCUUGAAUAUGUUAGCAUGGAAUAAUGACAUAGGACUUUGGUUCUAUUUUGUUGGUUGUUCGAGAACCGAAGUAAUGAUUGAUAGGGACAGUUGGGGGCAUCAGUAUUCUGAAGCGAGAGGUGAAAUUCUUGGACCUUCGGAGACUAAC